CCGCGGUAACACGUAGGAGGCAAACGUUAUCCGGAUUUACUGGGCGUAAAGCGCGUGUAGGUGGUACUGUAAGUAGGGCGUGAAAGCUCCUGGCUCAACUGGGAGAGGCCGUUCUAAACUACAGAACUAGAGGAUGGUAGAGGGAGGUGGAAUUCCAGGUGUAGCGGUGGAAUGCGCAGAUAUCUGGAGGAACACCGGUGGCGAAGGCGGCCUCCUGGACCAUUCCUGACACUCAGACGCGAAAGCUAGGGUAGCAAACGG
This 261-nucleotide ribosomal RNA is filed under the name uncultured bacterium. RNAcentral describes it as "partial 16S ribosomal RNA". It matches the Rfam family "Bacterial small subunit ribosomal RNA", at positions 515 to 775 of the family's 1533-position model. The record is from RNAcentral.